UGGACCCGUUACCCGGGUUGCGGACAGUGUCUGGUGGGUAGUUUGACUGGGGCGGUCUCCUCCUAAAGAGUAACGGAGGAGCACGAAGGUUGGCUAAUCCUGGUCGGACAUCAGGAGGUUAGUGCAAUGGCAUAAGCCAGCUUGACUGCGAGCGUGACGGCGCGAGCAGGUGCGAAAGCAGGUCAUAGUGAUCCGGUGGUUCUGAAUGGAAGGGCCAUCGCUCAACGGAUAAAAGGUACUCCGGGGAUAACAGGCUGAUACCGCCCAAGAGUUCAUAUCGACGGCGGUGUUUGGCACCUCGAUGUCGGCUCAUCACAUCCUGGGGCUGAAGUAGGUCCCAAGGGUAUGGCUGUUCGCCAUUUAAAGUGGUACGCGAGCUGGGUUUAGAACGUCGUGAGACAGUUCGGUCCCUAUCUGCCGUGGGCGCUGGAGAACUGAGGGGGGCUGCUCCUAGUACGAGAGGACCGGAGUGGACGCAUCACUGGUGUUCGGGUUGUCAUGCCAAUGGCACUGCCCGGUAGCUAAAUGCGGAAGAGAUAAGUGCUGAAAGCAUCUAAGCACGAAACUUGCCCCGAGAUGAGUUCUCCCUGAGACUUAGAGUCUCCUGAAGGAACGUUGAAGACGACGACGUUGAUAGGCCGGGUGUGUAAGCGCAGCGAUGCGUUGAGCUAACCGGUACUAAUGAACCGUGAGGCUUAACCUUACAACGCCG
RNAcentral lists this ribosomal RNA (712 nucleotides) under Salmonella enterica subsp. enterica serovar Enteritidis. Its description in RNAcentral is "partial 23S ribosomal RNA". It matches the Rfam family "Bacterial large subunit ribosomal RNA", at positions 2228 to 2925 of the family's 2925-position model. Lineage: Bacteria; Pseudomonadati; Pseudomonadota; Gammaproteobacteria; Enterobacterales; Enterobacteriaceae. The record is from RNAcentral.